RNAcentral lists this ribosomal RNA (1131 nucleotides) under human gut metagenome. Its description in RNAcentral is "bacterial LSU rRNA". It matches the Rfam family "Bacterial large subunit ribosomal RNA", at positions 1798 to 2925 of the family's 2925-position model. The record is from RNAcentral.
GACUGUUUAACAAAAACACAGCUCUAUGCUAACUCGCAAGAGGAUGUAUAUGGAGUGACACGUGACCAAUGCCAAAAGGUCAAUGGGAGAGGUUAGCGCAAGCGAAGCUUCGAUCUGAAGCCCUGGUGAAUGUCGGCCGUAACUAUAACGGUCCUAAGGUAGCGAAAUUCCUUGUCGGGUAAGUUCCGACCUGCACGAAUCGUGUAACGAUGCCAGCACUGUCUCAACGUGGAUCUCGGCGAAGUUGUAAUUCCGGUGAAAAUGCCGGAUACCUGCGGAAGGACGGAAAGACCCCAUGAACCUUUACUGUAAUCUGAUAUUGGUAUUUGAUUGCUCUUGUGUAGCAUAGGUGGGAGGCAGUGAAACCGCUACGCCAGUACCGGUGGAGCCACAGGUGAAAUACCACCCUGGUGUAAUUAGAUAUCUAACGGUGUCCCGUGAAUCCGGGCCCCGGACCGUGUCAGAGGGUCAGUUUGACUGGGGCGGUUUCCUCCUAAAUUGUAACGGAGGAGCCCGAAGGUACACUCAGCACGGUUGGCAAUCGUGUGCAGAGCGUAAGGGUAGAAGUGUGCUUUACUGUAAGACCGACAGGUCGAGCAGUUGCGAAAGCAGGGCCUAGUGAUCCAGCGAUGGAAUGUGGAAUCGUCGUUGCUCAACGGAUAAAAGGUACUCUGGGGAUAACAGGCUGAUAGCGCCCAAGCGUCCAUAGCGACGGCGCUGUUUGGCACCUCGAUGUCGACUCAUCACAUCCUGGGGCUGUAGAAGGUCCCAAGGGUUCGGCUGUUCGCCGAUUAAAGUGGUACGCGAGUUGGGUUCAGAACGUCGUGAGACAGUUCGGUCCUUAUCCUCCGCAGGCGCAGGAUAUUUGAUGGGAUCAUUCCUUAGUACGAGAGGACCGGGAAUGACUGACCUCUGGUGUUCCGGUUGUGGCGUCAGCUGCAUUGCCGGGUAGCUAUGUCGGGAACGGAUAAGCGCUGAAAGCAUCUAAGCGCCAAGCCCACCCAAAGACGAGAUAUCCCUUCCCGCAAGGGACUGAAGGCCGGUCGAAGACUACGACCUUGAUAGGACGGAGAUGUAAGCGCAGUAAUGCGUUCAGUUUACCGUUACUAAUCGGCCGUGAGGCUUAACCAC